RNAcentral lists this ribosomal RNA (427 nucleotides) under uncultured bacterium. Its description in RNAcentral is "bacterial SSU rRNA". It matches the Rfam family "Bacterial small subunit ribosomal RNA", at positions 355 to 774 of the family's 1533-position model. The record is from RNAcentral.
UGGGGAAUUUUGGACAAUGGGCGCAAGCCUGAUCCAGCCAUGCCGCGUGCAGGAUGAAGGCCUUCGGGUUGUAAACUGCUUUUGUACGGAACGAAAAGGUGCCUUCUAAUAAAGGGCGCUCAUGACGGUACCGUAAGAAUAAGCACCGGCUAACUACGUGCCAGCAGCCGCGGUAAUACGUAGGGUGCAAGCGUUAAUCGGAAUUACUGGGCGUAAAGCGUGCGCAGGCGGUUUUGUAAGACAGAGGUGAAAUCCCCGGGCUCAACCUGGGAACUGCCUUCGUGACUGCAAGGCUGGAGUGCGGCAGAGGGGGAUGGAAUUCCGCGUGUAGCAGUGAAAUGCGUAGAUAUGCGGAGGAACACCGAUGGCGAAGGCAAUCCCCUGGGCCUGCACUGACGCUCAUGCACGAAAGCGUGGGGAGCAAACA